Molecule: ribosomal RNA, 429 nt
Filed under: Pseudomonadota bacterium
Lineage: Bacteria; Pseudomonadati; Pseudomonadota
Description: Proteobacteria bacterium partial 16S ribosomal RNA
Rfam family: Bacterial small subunit ribosomal RNA
Source: RNAcentral
UGGGGAAUAUUGGACAAUGGGCGAAAGCCUGAUCCAGCCAUGCCGCGUGUGUGAAGAAGGUCUUCGGAUUGUAAAGCACUUUAAGUUGGGAGGAAGGGCAGUAAGCGAAUACCUUGCUUUUUUGACGUUACCGCCAGAAUAAGCACCGGCUAACUCUGUGCCAGCAGCCGCGGUAAUACAGAGGGUGCAAGCGUUAAUCGGAAUUACUGGGCGUAAAGCGCGCGUAGGUUGUUCGUUAAGUUGAAUGUGAAAGCCCCGGGCUCAACCUGGGAACGGCAUCCAAAACUGGCGAGCUAGAGUAGGGCAGAGGGUGGUGGAAUUUCCUGUGUAGCGGUGAAAUGCGUAGAUAUAGGAAGGAACACCAGUGGCGAAGGCGACCACCUGGGAGCAUACUGACACUGAGGUGCGAAAGCGUGGGGAGCAAACAGG